GUCUAUGGCCAUACCACCCUGAAAGCACCUGAUCUUGUCUGAUCUCGGAAACUAAGCUAGGACUGGGCCUGAUUAGUACUUGGAUGGGAGACUGCCUAGCAAUACCAGGCGCUGUAGGCU
Molecule: ribosomal RNA, 120 nt
Organism: Microcebus murinus (gray mouse lemur)
Lineage: Eukaryota; Metazoa; Chordata; Mammalia; Primates; Cheirogaleidae
Source: Ensembl